GCUAUGCCCGAUCUCGUCUGAUCUCGGAAGCUAAGCAGGAUUCGGCCUGGUUAGUACUUGAAUGGGAGACUGCCUGGGAAUACCAGGUGCUGUAAGCUU
Molecule: ribosomal RNA, 99 nt
Filed under: Carassius auratus (goldfish)
Lineage: Eukaryota; Metazoa; Chordata; Actinopteri; Cypriniformes; Cyprinidae
Also listed under: 1 other name
Source: RNAcentral